RNAcentral lists this ribosomal RNA (121 nucleotides) under Carlito syrichta (Philippine tarsier). The record is from RNAcentral. Lineage: Eukaryota; Metazoa; Chordata; Mammalia; Primates; Tarsiidae.
UUAUAUUCCCAAACCACCCUCAACGUGCCAGAUCUUAUCUGAUAUCAGAAGCUAAGGACAUUUGGGCCUGGUAGGAUGGGAGACUUUUUAUUUUUUAAAACCCUUCAGGAUGUACUGUGAA